AUUGAACGCUGGCGGCAGGCCUAACACAUGCAAGUCGAGCGAGCGGCGGACGGGUGAGUAAUGUAUGGGAAUCUGCCUGAUGGCGGGGGAUAACUACUGGAAACGGUAGCUAAUACCGCAUACCAUCAGAUGUGCCCAGAUGGGAUUAGCUAGGAGGUGGGGUAAUGGCUCACCUAGGAGACGAUCCCUCGCUGGUCUGAUAGGAUGACCAGCCACACUGUAACUGCGACACGGUCCAGACUCCUACGGGAGGCAGCAGUGGGGAAUAUUGCACAAUGGGCGCAAGCAUGAUGCAGCCAUGCCGCGUGUGUGAAGAAGGCCUUCGGGUUGUAAAGUACUUUCAGCGAGGAGGCGUUACUCGCAGAAGAAGCACCGGCUAACUCCGUGCCAGCAGCCGCGGUAAUAC
This 406-nucleotide ribosomal RNA is filed under the name uncultured bacterium. Its description in RNAcentral is "partial 16S ribosomal RNA". It matches the Rfam family "Bacterial small subunit ribosomal RNA", at positions 30 to 526 of the family's 1533-position model. The record is from RNAcentral.